RNAcentral lists this ribosomal RNA (599 nucleotides) under Lactococcus lactis. Its description in RNAcentral is "bacterial SSU rRNA". It matches the Rfam family "Bacterial small subunit ribosomal RNA", at positions 75 to 665 of the family's 1533-position model. The record is from RNAcentral. Lineage: Bacteria; Bacillati; Bacillota; Bacilli; Lactobacillales; Streptococcaceae.
UUGUACCGACUGGAUGAGCAGCGAACGGGUGAGUAACGCGUGGGGAAUCUGCCUUUGAGCGGGGGACAACAUUUGGAAACGAAUGCUAAUACCGCAUAAAAACUUUAAACACAAGUUUUAAGUUUGAAAGAUGCAAUUGCAUCACUCAAAGAUGAUCCCGCGUUGUAUUAGCUAGUUGGUGAGGUAAAGGCUCACCAAGGCGAUGAUACAUAGCCGACCUGAGAGGGUGAUCGGCCACAUUGGGACUGAGACACGGCCCAAACUCCUACGGGAGGCAGCAGUAGGGAAUCUUCGGCAAUGGACGAAAGUCUGACCGAGCAACGCCGCGUGAGUGAAGAAGGUUUUCGGAUCGUAAAACUCUGUUGGUAGAGAAGAACGUUGGUGAGAGUGGAAAGCUCAUCAAGUGACGGUAACUACCCAGAAAGGGACGGCUAACUACGUGCCAGCAGCCGCGGUAAUACGUAGGUCCCGAGCGUUGUCCGGAUUUAUUGGGCGUAAAGCGAGCGCAGGUGGUUUAUUAAGUCUGGUGUAAAAGGCAGUGGCUUAACCAUUGUAUGCAUUGGAAACUGGUAGACUUGAGUGCAGGAGAGGAGAGUGGA